AGCUCAGUUGGUAAGGCUCUUGCUUCACAAGCAUGAGGACCAGAGUUUAAAUCUCUG
Molecule: transfer RNA, 57 nt
Filed under: Mesocricetus auratus (golden hamster)
Lineage: Eukaryota; Metazoa; Chordata; Mammalia; Rodentia; Cricetidae
Rfam family: tRNA
About the family: Transfer RNA (tRNA) molecules are approximately 80 nucleotides in length. Their secondary structure includes four short double-helical elements and three loops (D, anti-codon, and T loops). Further hydrogen bonds mediate the characteristic L-shaped molecular structure. tRNAs have two regions of fundamental functional importance: the anti-codon, which is responsible for specific mRNA codon recognition, and the 3' end, to which the tRNAs corresponding amino acid is attached (by aminoacyl-tRNA synthetases). tRNAs cope with the degeneracy of the genetic code in two manners: having more than one tRNA (with a specific anti-codon) for a particular amino acid; and 'wobble' base-pairing, i.e. permitting non-standard base-pairing at the 3rd anti-codon position.
Source: Rfam by way of RNAcentral